Molecule: ribosomal RNA, 1352 nt
Filed under: Salmonella enterica
Lineage: Bacteria; Pseudomonadati; Pseudomonadota; Gammaproteobacteria; Enterobacterales; Enterobacteriaceae
Description: partial 23S ribosomal RNA
Rfam family: Bacterial large subunit ribosomal RNA
Source: RNAcentral
UCAUCUCCGGGGGUAGAGCACUGUUUCGGCUAGGGGGCCAUCCCGGCUUACCAACCCGAUGCAAACUGCGAAUACCGGAGAAUGUUAUCACGGGAGACACACGGCGGGUGCUAACGUCCGUCGUGAAGAGGGAAACAACCCAGACCGCCAGCUAAGGUCCCAAAGUCAUGGUUAAGUGGGAAACGAUGUGGGAAGGCCCAGACAGCCAGGAUGUUGGCUUAGAAGCAGCCAUCAUUUAAAGAAAGCGUAAUAGCUCACUGGUCGAGUCGGCCUGCGCGGAAGAUGUAACGGGGCUAAACCAUGCACCGAAGCUGCGGCAGCGAACGUAUCACUUAAAGCGAUUCAGCGGGUUACGAUUGACGGAGCGAAGCGACGUCAAAGCGUAUACAAAGUCGAGUCGGUUUAAGGAUACGUUCGUUGGGUAGGGGAGCGUUCUGUAAGCCUGUGAAGGUGGCCUGUGAGGGUUGCUGGAGGUAUCAGAAGUGCGAAUGCUGACAUAAGUAACGAUAAAGCGGGUGAAAAGCCCGCUCGCCGGAAGACCAAGGGUUCCUGUCCAACGUUAAUCGGGGCAGGGUGAGUCGACCCCUAAGGCGAGGCCGAAAGGCGUAGUCGAUGGGAAACGGGUUAAUAUUCCCGUACUUGGUGUUACUGCGAAGGGGGGACGGAGAAGGCUAUGUUGGCCGGGCGACGGUUGUCCCGGUUUAAGCGUGUAGGUGUGUGUUCCAGGUAAAUCCGGUUCACUUUAACACUGAGGCGUGACGACGAGGCACUACGGUGCUGAAGCAACAAAUGCCCUGCUUCCAGGAAAAGCCUCUAAGCAUCAGGUAACAUCAAAUCGUACCCCAAACCGACACAGGUGGUCAGGUAGAGAAUACCAAGGCGCUUGAGAGAACUCGGGUGAAGGAACUAGGCAAAAUGGUGCCGUAACUUCGGGAGAAGGCACGCUGACACGUAGGUGAAGUGAUUUACUCAUGGAGCUGAAGUCAGUCGAAGAUACCAGCUGGCUGCAACUGUUUAUUAAAAACACAGCACUGUGCAAACACGAAAGUGGACGUAUACGGUGUGACGCCUGCCCGGUGCCGGAAGGUUAAUUGAUGGGGUCAGCGCAAGCGAAGCUCCUGAUCGAAGCCCCGGUAAACGGCGGCCGUAACUAUAACGGUCCUAAGGUAGCGAAAUUCCUUGUCGGGUAAGUUCCGACCUGCACGAAUGGCGUAAUGAUGGCCAGGCUGUCUCCACCCGAGACUCAGUGAAAUUGAACUCGCUGUGAAGAUGCAGUGUACCCGCGGCAAGACGGAAAGACCCCGUGAACCUUUACUAUAGCUUGACACUGAACAUUGAGCCUUGAUGUGUAG